UUUCCGUAGGUGAACCUGCGGAAGGAUCAUUCACAAUAAGUGUUUUAUGGCUCUUUUUCAAUCCAUCUCCACCUUGUGUGCAAUGUUGUCUUGUAGUGCGAAUGCUUGUCAUUUGCGCUACCGGAUGUAAACAUCAACUCUUAUCUUUUACAUCUUUGUCUAAAACCUGUUUGAAUACUUAAUUCCAAUACAACUUUCAACAACGGAUCUCUUGGCUCUC
RNAcentral lists this unclassified non-coding RNA (220 nucleotides) under plant metagenome. Its description in RNAcentral is "partial contains small subunit ribosomal RNA, internal transcribed spacer 1, and 5.8S ribosomal RNA". The record is from RNAcentral.